Long non-coding RNA from Austrofundulus limnaeus, 1374 nucleotides. RefSeq lists it as uncharacterized. The transcript has 3 exons. The record is from RefSeq and is a predicted model, not a curated record. NCBI's taxonomy places the organism in Eukaryota, Metazoa, Chordata, Actinopteri, Cyprinodontiformes, Rivulidae.
CGAAGACCCCGAAGAGGACCUUGCCGACAGAAACCUGUCCAGGGUUGAAGGAGCAGAGGGUUAGAAAGACCAUCCUGCAGGAGGAACAUAUCCUGUGGCAGCGACGGAUGUGAUGCUGAACUGAGGGGACCAGAAUCUCUGAAUCCUCUCUGGGAAACAAGGGAGGGUUAUAACCGAGUGAUGCUUCAAAUGGAGAAAAACCAGUAGCUGAUGAGGUAUGGCCGUUAUGUGAAUACUAAACCCAAGACUGCCCAUUUGAUUGGGGGUGAUGACCAGAGGUGAGGCUGACUUUGGCACCUAAGGCGGAACAAAAAGCCUUCCAUACCUGUGACACAAACUGGGGUCCACGGUCAGAAACAAUGUCCGAGGGAACACCAUGGAGACGAAAAACAUUGUUCACCAAGAAUUGAGCGGUUUCAAAAGAUGUGGGAAGUUUAACCAAAGGAACGAAGUGGGCUGCUUUAGAAAAUCUGUCUAUGAUGGUAAGAAUGACGGUAUUACCUUCAGAGGGUGGCAGUCCGGUAACAAAAUCUAAGGCAAUAUGGGACCAUGGAUGGGCAGGUGUUGGUAGUGGUUGUAGGAGACCGGCUUGUUGUUGGUUGCUGCUUUUGUUCAUGGCACAAGUUGGACAGGCAGUGACAAACUCCUUAAUAUCUUGGUAGGCCACCAAAAAUGUCUUUUAGAGAAAGACAGCAUACGAGAGAUACCAGGGUGACAUGUAAAACGAUGAUUGUGGACCCAGUCCAGUAGUUUACCAAUAAUUGCCUUGGGAACGAAUCUGGUACCAGUGGGUCCAUUGCCAGGAUCAYMAUCAGACUGUUGAGCCAAACGGAUGGUGUUUUCAAUAUCCCAAGUGAGAGUUCCCACGAAGCAGGUGUUAGGUAGGAUGGUGGAGUCCUUUUCAUGAGAGUCUGGAGGAGAAAACAGUCUGGAGAGAGCAUCUGACUUGACAUUCUUUGAGCCCGGGAUGUAAGUGAUGGUGAAAUUAAAUCUUACAAAGAAUAAUGACUAACGGGCUUGUCGAGGGUUUAAUCGUUUAGCAUUUUGUGUUACUAAAUGACUAGUGUUCUCGCAGUUUGCUUUAAAUAAUUGCCAAUUAGCUUUGUUAAAGCACCAUUUAAUGUAAAUUCUUCUUGUCUGGAUAUAUCAUCAUUUAUUAUUAUACUUAUUGGAAAGUGGUCACUCCCUAUUGUACUCUUACCCCUCACACUCCAUUCACAUGAACUUGCUAAAGUAUCUGACACUAAUGUAAUAUCUAUGCAUGAGACUGUACCUUUAUUUAAAUUGAUUCUUGUUCCCUGACCAUUAUUUAAACAUACUAAAGAUCUUUCAUCCAUAAUUUCUUCUAUUAUUCUGCCAUUAUUGUCUGUUUGG